GCGGACCUCUUCGGAGUCCCUAGCAUCAAAUCAUAUCCAUAACACCUGUGAACUGUAAGGCUGUCUUGAAAACGAAAGUGAUUAGAGCGCCUGCCCAUUUUAUACAAACAUUAAGGUAACAAACGUAGUCUUAUUAUAAUCUAAUAAAACUUUCAACAACGGAUCUCUUGGCUCUCGCAUCGAUGAAGAACGCAGCGAAAUGCGAUAAGUAAUGUGAAUUGCAGAAUUCAGUGAAUCAUCGAAUCUUUGAACGCACCUUGCGCUCUUUGGUAUUCCGAAGAGCAUGCCUGUUUGAGUGUCAUGAAAAUAUCAACCUUGACUUGGGUUUAGUGCUCUUGUCUUGGCUUGGAUUUGGCUGUUUGCCGCUCGAAAGAGUCGGCUCAGCUUAAAAGUAUUAGCUGGAUCUGUCUUUGAGACUUGGUUUGACUUGGCGUAAUAAGUUAUUUCGCUGAGGACAAUCUUCGGAUUGGCCGAGUUUCUGGGACGUUUGUCCGCUUUCUAAUACAAGUUCUAGCUUGCUAGACAUGACUUUUUUAUUAUCUGGCCUCAAAUCAGGUAGGACUACCCGCUGAACUUAAGCAUAUCAAUAAGGCNGGAGGAA
Molecule: ribosomal RNA, 601 nt
Filed under: uncultured fungus
Lineage: Eukaryota; Fungi
Description: eukaryotic LSU rRNA
Rfam family: 5.8S ribosomal RNA (bases 148-301)
Source: RNAcentral